Molecule: long non-coding RNA, 228 nt
Filed under: Elaeis guineensis (African oil palm)
Lineage: Eukaryota; Viridiplantae; Streptophyta; Magnoliopsida; Arecales; Arecaceae
Description: long non-coding RNA (EGUI_LNC036321)
Source: RNAcentral
AGUUACACAAGUGUCUGACCUUUAUGAGUAUCCACAUGGAGUCGGAGGGCUGAUCUGAAAUGAUCUGAUUCUCUGGGGUGCUAGCUCCCGUGCGGAACUCUUGCUUGAUGGAAGAUCCUUCUCGACUUUUUAAGAAAUAUAGCAGGCCUGGAGCUUCUUCAAGAACUCCUUUGCUGAAAUCUGAUUUCCGCAACACUUAAAAAAAAGAGAGGCCCUAGGGCAUGGAGA